UAGGGAAUCCCUCCGCAAUGGGCGAAAGCCUGACGGAGCAACGCCGCGUGAGUGAUGAAGGUCUUCGGAUCGUAAAACUCUGUUAUUAGGGAAGAACAUAUGUGUAAGUAACUGUGCACAUCUUGACGGUACCUAAUCAGAAAGCCACGGCUAACUACGUGCCAGCAGCCGCGGUAAUACGUAGGUGGCAAGCGUUAUCCGGAAUUAUUGGGCGUAAAGCGCGCGUAGGCGGUUUUUUAAGUCUGAUGUGAAAGCCCACGGCUCAACCGUGGAGGGUCAUUGGAAACUGGAAAACUUGAGUGCAGAAGAGGAAAGUGGAAUUCCAUGUGUAGCGGUGAAAUGCGCAGAGAUAUGGAGGAACACCAGUGGCGAAGGCGACUUUCUGGUCUGUAACUGACGCUGAUGUGCGAAAGCGUGGGGAUCAAACAGGAUUAGAUACCCUGGUAGUCCACGCCGUAAACGAUGAGUGCUAAGUGUUAGGGGGUUUCCGCCCCUUAGUGCUGCAGCUAACGCAUUAAGCACUCCGCCUGGGGAGUACGACCGCAAGGUUG
This 551-nucleotide ribosomal RNA is filed under the name uncultured bacterium. RNAcentral describes it as "bacterial SSU rRNA". It matches the Rfam family "Bacterial small subunit ribosomal RNA", at positions 355 to 896 of the family's 1533-position model. The record is from RNAcentral.